This 31-nucleotide non-coding RNA is filed under the name Homo sapiens (human). Lineage: Eukaryota; Metazoa; Chordata; Mammalia; Primates; Hominidae. The record is from RNAcentral.
UGUCUCUGGACCUGCCUCUUGGUUAUCAUGU